Molecule: ribosomal RNA, 515 nt
Filed under: uncultured bacterium
Lineage: Bacteria
Description: bacterial SSU rRNA
Rfam family: Bacterial small subunit ribosomal RNA
Source: RNAcentral
GGAAAGAGGAUUCGUCCAAUUGAAGCAGAGGACAGUGGCGGACGGGUGAGUAACGCGUGAGGAACCUGCCUUUCAGAGGGGGACAACAGUUGGAAACGACUGCUAAUACCGCAUGACAUAUAGAUGUCGCAUGGCAUUUAUAUCAAAGAUUUAUCGCUGAAAGAUGGCCUCGCGUCUGAUUAGCUAGUUGGUGAGGUAACGGCCCACCAAGGCGACGAUCAGUAGCCGGACUGAGAGGUUGAACGGCCACAUUGGGACUGAGAUACGGCCCAGACUCCUACGGGAGGCAGCAGUGGGGAAUAUUGGGCAAUGGGCGCAAGCCUGACCCAGCAACGCCGCGUGAAGGAAGAAGGCUUUCGGGUUGUAAACUUCUUUUGUCAGGGACGAGUAGAAGACGGUACCUGACGAAUAAGCCACGGCUAACUACGUGCCAGCAGCCGCGGUAAUACGUAGGUGGCAAGCGUUGUCCGGAUUUACUGGGUGUAAAGGGCGUGUAGCCGGGAGGGCAAGUCAGA